This is an RNA transcript of Nicotiana tabacum (common tobacco), 2684 nucleotides long. It is a transcript of the gene named putative U3 small nucleolar RNA-associated protein 11, with no coding region annotated. The record is from RefSeq and is a predicted model, not a curated record. NCBI's taxonomy places the organism in Eukaryota, Viridiplantae, Streptophyta, Magnoliopsida, Solanales, Solanaceae.
AUAAAUAAAAUUAAACAUAUUGUAGAUUAUGGAUGCGUUUCACGUGACGCGAUUUGCGAUGUUUAUAAACAACGAGUGUACUACAACGUAACUCGUCUCAUAUUAAUUCCAUAAAAGUUUAAAAUGCAGUAAUGUAAUAAAAGUAGUAAAAGGAAUAAAAAUGCACAUAGGUUUAAAACAUGUAUUAAAUCAGAUAACUAGGCCAAUUAUUAAUAGUUGAGCAACCGUGCUAAAACCACGGAACUUGAGAGUGCCUCACACAUUCUCCCGGGUUAACAGAAUUCCUUACCCGGUCUUCUGGUUUCAGAGACUUUAAAACAGAGUUAAAUUUCCCCGAUUUGGGAUUUAAAAUGAACCGGUGACUUGGGACACCAUAAAUUAUUCCAAGUGGUGACUCUAAAUUAAAUAAAUAAUCUCAUUUCGAAUAGUGUCACUUUAAUUGAAAAAACUCCCUACCCCCUCGGAAAAAAGGAGGUGUGACACCUAUACCCACCGUCAUUUAAUGCCUCAUUUAAUUUGCCUUCGUCCUUUAACGUUAUAGACUUAGUUUCGAAACCUCCAUAGCCAAACCAUGAGAACCCAUAUUUCACCAAGCAUUUACUGAUUCAACUUUUGAAUUUUUUCUUCAGAUUUUGUUCUAUCUCUUCGUCAAAUAGUAAUUUCUAGGCGAAAUUUUUGGAUGUAAAAGUAUAUUUUAGUGAAAGUGGCUUUUCAAAAUCAUAGAUUUUUUGUAUUUUUUUAUUGUACUUUUGUGAAUAAAUAUUUGAAUAAAUAUAUGUGAGUUGUUGUUUUCACUAUGGGUCGGAAGCACUGUGCGCGUAGAUGGUGGCGCCGUGCAUAACAUCAUUCUUUAACCCAAGUAGUUGCUACAUUUGUUGCCUCAGUCAUGUCCAGUCCUAGUUUUUCAUUAUUUUCUGAUUCUCCGUCUGUGUUUGGUCCUAACCCUAGCAGUAGUCGUAUUGAAAACACAAUUGAAAAUGUAGAAUUAGAGGGAGGGAAAGGCAACAAUAUUAACGCUUCGUCAGUCGAUGGAACUCCCUAUCAGUCAUUACCCAAAAUAAAUUUCGAACCAGUCAACAAAAAUUCUACUUUAAAUCGAAAUUGAUAAUAUUUUUAAUAUUACAAUUACAUCCACCUUCAACUUGCUUCAUUAAACAAAUAUUUUAGUUAUUUAAGGGCAUAAAAGGCUAUUAAUAUUUUAGGAAUAUUUUUAUCGUUCAAUAUUUAGCGUGAAAUAUUCGUGAUUGGAUCAUAUAGAUAGAUAUAGAUACAUAGAUAGGGUGAUAGAUAGAUAUAUUUGAUAAAGAUAAAAAGCGUUAACUUUUAACAAAUUUAGAGGACUAAAACCGCUUAUGAGUGUACCUAAGGUACCAUUUUCAAAUCUACCCAAACGUGAUUGGAUCAUAUUUGCCAUUUUCCUCUAAUUGCUGUGCCUCGUCUCAGCUGGCUCCUCUCUUGAUGUUUCGGUCUGCCGUUUUCGUUUGUGUUUCUCGGCGCUGUAAGUUCUGUUCGUGAAUCUUUGACAGAAUAGUGGUUGUUACUUCAGUGAAUCAAUUGUAAAAUGUCAUCGUUCAAGAAUGCUAUUCCUAGACGAGCUCAUAAGGAGCGAGCUCAGCCACAAGCUAGGAAAAAAUUUGGAUUGCUCGAGAAACACAAAGAUUAUGUGGUGCGGGCGACAGCAUUCCACAAAAAGGAGCAAACUUUACGGAAACUCAAGGAAAAAGCAGCAUUUCGGAAUCCAGAUGAGUUCUACUUCAAGAUGGUUAAAACAAAAACUGUGGAUGGAGUUCAUAGAUUGGAGAGUCAAGUAAAUAAAUACACUCCAGAGGAACUCAUGUUAAUGAAAACUCAGGAUAUAGGCUAUAUUUUACAGAAAGUUCAGACUGAGAAAAAGAAAAUUGAGAAGUUAACUGCCACACUGCACUCUCUUGAUAAUCAGCCAUCAAAUAGACGUGUCUACUAUGCCGAAGAUAGGGAGGAGGCAGAAGAGCUAGCGUCUAAAGCAUCAGAACAUAGUAAUUUGGCUGCUUCUGAGAACUUGCCUAGUAGUAUUAGAAGGAAGACAGCUGCCUCCUAUAGAGAGUUGGAAGCAAGAAAGGGCAGAGUGAGAGACUUAGAGAAACUGUACAUGGAUAUGGCCAUUCAGAAAGAAUUACAGAAAUCGGGAAGGAAACGCAAGCUUCGUGAAGAGGAGCUUGUGAACCCAACAACCAAACCUGUCUACAAGUGGAGACAAGAACGAAAGCGAUGAGAAUUUCGAUGUUAUAAUACAAGUACGAGGAAGUGUUUUGGAUGGUCAUAUCAAGAAUUCAGUUCCGAAUACUUUGAGGCGGAUAACAUUUGAACAGCAGUAAAACAACAAAAUGCGCAGUUGAAACAAGCUAUGCCAAAACGAUUGUGGUUUUGUUUGAGAAACAACACACAAAGAGAAGCGAUUUUUUUUGCUGAUAAUGAAGUUUGUAAUAUAGAUAUUCAUCAUGAUUUUCCUACAGAAGUCAAGAAACUUUAUAAGAUGAUACAGUGUCACGACCCAACAAGCCAAAGACACUAAUGUAUUUUCUUUGUUCCUCAAGUCACUAGCAACAUACAAUAUAUCCUUAGAUGGCAAAUUUCAAUUAUAAUACAUUUCUAUGACCAUAGAGUUCUUCAAUUCAAAACCUGAAACUUCAGGAUGUUCAAAUAUC